This 468-nucleotide ribosomal RNA is filed under the name uncultured bacterium. Its description in RNAcentral is "partial 16S ribosomal RNA". It matches the Rfam family "Bacterial small subunit ribosomal RNA", at positions 28 to 507 of the family's 1533-position model. The record is from RNAcentral.
GACGAACGCUGGCGGCGUGCUUAACACAUGCAAGUCGAACGGAAAGGCCCUGCUUUUGUGGGGUGCUCGAGUGGCGAACGGGUGAGUAACACGUGAGUAACCUGCCCUUGACUUUGGGAUAACUUCAGGAAACUGGGGCUAAUACCGGAUAGGAGCUCCUGCUGCAUGGUGGGGGUUGGAAAGUUUCGGCGGUUGGGGAUGGACUCGCGGCUUAUCAGCUUGUUGGUGGGGUAGUGGCUUACCAAGGCUUCGACGGGUAGCCGGCCUGAGAGGGUGGCCGGCCACAUGAGGACUGAGAGACGGAGCAGACUCCUACGUGAGGCAGCAGUGGAGAAUAUUGCACAGUGGGCGGAAGCCUGAUGCAGCAACGCCGCGUGCGGGAUGACGGCCUUCGGGUUGUAAACCGCUUUCGCCUGUGACGAAGCGUGAGUGACGGUAAUGGGUAAAGAAGCACCGGCUAACUACGUG